This 1117-nucleotide long non-coding RNA is filed under the name Mytilus galloprovincialis (Mediterranean mussel). Lineage: Eukaryota; Metazoa; Mollusca; Bivalvia; Mytilida; Mytilidae. The record is from RNAcentral.
UUUAAAAUAAUACAUGUAUUAUGUAUGAAAUACUGCCACUAUUUAUAUAUAUUAAUAUAUAUACAACUGUACAAUAUAAAAACAAACUUCCCAGCAGAGAUAAGCAUGCCAAAAUCUCACUAAUAAUGCGUUCUUAAAAGUAUUAUAUAGUAUUAUGCAUACAUGUAGUAGUCAUGUCAACCCCUAGACAUAACCGGAUGUUUUGAAGUCAUUUGAGUAUAUACGUUUAUAUAUAAAACCAAAUAAAUAUUAUGAAAAGAUAUAUUAAGUUAGUCAUCUAUAAUGAUCUACUGUGGUUCAGUGUGGGACUUCUGUUAUAGUGUAAUUGUCUACUACAUAUUUAUCGCUAUAUUUGUAUAAGGAUUCUCAAAAACACAUAGAUAUAAGAAGAUGUGAUAUGAGUGCCAAUGCGACAACUCUCCAUCCAAGUCACAAGUUGUAAAUAGUUAACCAUUCAUUAUAGGUCAAAAUGUGGACUUCAACGGUACUGCAUCUAGGUCUCGGAUGUCUGGUAGUCUAAGUAAUUACAGCUAGGUCUCGGAUGUCUGGUAGUGUAAGUAAUUACAGCUAUGUCUCGGAUGUCUGGUAGUCUAAGUAAUUACAGCUAGGUCUCGGAUGUAUGGUAUUCUAAGUUAUAACAGCUAGGUCUCGGAUGUCUGGUAGUCUAAGUCUCGGAAGUAUUACAGCUAGGUCUCGGAUGUCUUGUCUAGUCAGCUAGGUCUCGGAUGUAAUUAUUAUGUCAAGUAAUUACUAGGUCUCGGAUGUCUGGUAAGUAAUUACAGCUAGUCUCGGAUGUAUGGUAUUCUAAGUUAAUUAACAGUCUAGUCAGCUCGGAUGUCUCUAAGUAAUUACAGCUAGGUCUAGUCUAAGUAAUUACAGCUAAGUCUGGUAUCUAAGUAAUUACGCUAGAUGUCUGGUAGUCUAAGUAAUGCUAGGGUCUCGGAUGUCUGGUAGUCUAAGUAAUUACAGCUAUGGUCUCGGAAUGUCUAGGUAGUCUAGUCUAAGUAAUUACUAGGGUCUCGGAUGUAUGGUAACUAAGGUCUCGGAUGUAUGGCUAAGUUCAGCUAAUGUAUGUUAUAACAGCUAGGUCUCGGAUGUCUGGUAGUCUAAGUAAGUA